RNAcentral lists this long non-coding RNA (573 nucleotides) under Pan troglodytes (chimpanzee). Its description in RNAcentral is "long non-coding RNA NONPTRT003362". The record is from RNAcentral. Lineage: Eukaryota; Metazoa; Chordata; Mammalia; Primates; Hominidae.
CAGAAAAGAAAAAAACUAGGAGAGGAAGUCAGAGGGAAAGAAAGCAAAAACAGCAAGCACAGAGCCAAACAGCCAGGCAGGCACGCCAAGGGGCUGGCAACCUUGUAGUAAAUGGGACCACAUCCCUUAAACUACCCAGGAGCAAAGCUGGACUUCCACAAAAAAGUCUCAGUUGGCAGUGUUACCGCUGGUGUAAUCUCUUCUCUGUUCCUGGCUUUUAUUGAGAUGGUUGAUCAUCUUUACACAGUCCUUUGCAUGCAGAUUUUAGGAAUACAGCACUCCAUAUCGUUACCAUAAUAAUGAAACGGAUUCCCAUGGCUACAGCAAUGAAGCAGCAGAAAAAAAAUGGAGAUGCUGUCAAAGAAAAAAGAGACAGAUCAGAAAAGAAGCAUAAAGGGUUUGGGUAUCUUUGUAUUUAAUAUAAAUAUUAGAGUUUUUUUAAUGAGAAGGUGGUAUUGAUCCUUUUUCUGCCUUAAUUAUUUUUCCCAGAACAGAACAUAAAUACCUCGCAAAUGAUCAAAAACUGGAGUACGACAAUGUAAUAUUUCCUUCUGUACUUCUCUACAAGUUCCC